CGGGGCGUGGCGCAGCCUGGUAGCGCGCCUGCUUUGGGAGCAGGAUGUCGCAGGUUCGAAUCCUGCCGCCCCGACCU
This 77-nucleotide transfer RNA is filed under the name Lujinxingia litoralis. Its description in RNAcentral is "Bradymonadales bacterium B210 tRNA-Pro". It matches the Rfam family "tRNA". From Rfam's summary of the family: Transfer RNA (tRNA) molecules are approximately 80 nucleotides in length. Their secondary structure includes four short double-helical elements and three loops (D, anti-codon, and T loops). Lineage: Bacteria; Deltaproteobacteria; Bradymonadales; Lujinxingiaceae. The record is from RNAcentral.